This 1226-nucleotide long non-coding RNA is filed under the name Ananas comosus (pineapple). Its description in RNAcentral is "long non-coding RNA (ACOM_LNC015626)". The record is from RNAcentral. Lineage: Eukaryota; Viridiplantae; Streptophyta; Magnoliopsida; Poales; Bromeliaceae.
UACUAUGCUAUGCUUAUAAAGGAUCUAGCGCUUUUAAUUUUUUGGCCCUUAAAUCAACUCUUUUGAUCAUUUCUAAUCUUUGGAUUAAUACUAUUACCUUGUGGCCGGGAACCACUCAACCUAGGUGUACUACUCAACCCUAGGGAGGAACCGCAAUCAUUCCAACCGUACAAUUCUUGAUCCAAGAGUCAAAAAGUCAGAAUCAUUAAAUCCUCUAUGCUUCCGAUAGCACAGUAGUAGCUGUACACUACACAAUCCUAAGGGGGAGUGCAAUCAUUCCAGCCAUACAAUUUUUAAUCCAAAGGUCAAAAAGUCGGAAGCAUUAAAUACUCUGUACUUCUGAUAGCAUAGUAGCUUUACACUAUAUAUAUAUAUAUAUAUAUAUAUAUAUAUAUAUAUAUAUAUAUAUAUAUAUAUAUAUAUAUAUAUAUAUAUAUAUAUAUAUAUAUAUAUAUAUAUAUAGAGAGAGAGAGCUACUAUGCUAUGCUUAUAAAGGAUCUAGCGCUUUUAAUUUUUUGGCCCUUAAAUCAACUCUUUUGAUCAUUUCUAAUCUUUGGAUUAAUACUAUUACCUUGUGGCCGGGAACCACUCAACCUAGGUGUACUACUCAACCCUAGGGAGGAACCGCAAUCAUUCCAACCGUACAAUUCUUGAUCCAAGAGUCAAAAAGUCAGAAUCAUUAAAUCCUCUAUGCUUCCGAUAGCACAGUAGUAGCUGUACACUACACAAUCCUAAGGGGGAGUGCAAUCAUUCCAGCCAUACAAUUUUUAAUCCAAAGGUCAAAAAGUCGGAAGCAUUAAAUACUCUGUACUUCUGAUAGCAUAGUAGCUUUACACUAUAUGUAUGAAAAGUAUAUCUAUUAUUCAUUGAGAUAAUAUGUAUUUUCUUAAUUAUUGGGAGUGAGAGAAAAGUAAGGCCAUACAAUUUUUAAUCCAAAGGUCAAAAAGUCGGAAGCAUUAAAUACUCUGUACUUCUGAUAGCAUAGUAGCUCUACACUAUAUGUAUGAAAAGUAUAUCUAUUAUUCAUUGAGAUAAUAUGUAUUUUCUUAAUUAUUGGGAGUGAGAGAAAAGUAAGGAGCUACCUAUUUCGUUUAUUUUUUAGAAAUAAAAUCAGCCAGUGUUAAAUAUGUCUCAAAAUUUAAUUGUCGAGUUUGAUUUUCUGCCCCUAAUUCACCAACAGUUUCUCAGUAGAAUAAAUUUAAGAAAAAAAUAAAUUGUGAAGGAAG